This 497-nucleotide ribosomal RNA is filed under the name uncultured bacterium. RNAcentral describes it as "partial 16S ribosomal RNA". It matches the Rfam family "Bacterial small subunit ribosomal RNA", at positions 28 to 507 of the family's 1533-position model. The record is from RNAcentral.
GAUGAACGCUGGCGGCGUGCCUAAUACAUGCCAGUCGAGCGAACGGACGAGAAGCUUGCUUCUCUGAUGUUAGCGGCGGACGGGUGAGUAACACGUGGAUAACCUACCUAUAAGACUGGGAUAACUUCGGGAAACCGUAGCUAAUACCGGAUAAUAUUUUGAACCGCAUGGUUCAAAAGUGAAAGACGGUCUUGCUGUCACUUAUAGAUGGAUCCGCGCUGCAUUAGCUAGUUGGUAAGGUAACGGCUUACCAAGGCAACGAUGCAUAGCCGACCUGAGAGGGUGAUCGGCCACACUGGAACUGAGACACGGUCCAGACUCCUACGGGAGGCAGCAGUAGGGAAUCUUCCGCAAUGGGCGAAAGCCUGACGGAGCAACGCCGCGUGAGUGAUGAAGGUCUUCGGAUCGUAAAACUCUGUUAUUAGGGAAGAACAUAUGUGUAAGUAACUGUGCACAUCUUGACGGUACCUAAUCAGAAAGUCACGGCUAACUACGUG